ACCACAAAAUUAUUCAAUGGAAAAUUUUGGUGCAUCUUUUCGCUGUUCUAUUUUUCUCAUUAUUUGUAUCUAUGGCAUGUUGAUGAUAAAACAAGUGAAUGGCGAUGAUACAUGUGAUGAAUUUUUUUCUUCUUCUAUUCCUUGUUCACAACUAUCACCAUCUUGCUUAUCAUUUUGUAAACAACGUUAUGGAAAACUUGUAGUUGGUUCAAGGUGUGAUGACGAAGGUCCAGGACAUUAUACUUGUAUUUGCACCCUCAGUAUAUCUUGUCAUCUUCUUACUUAGUUACUACAAAUUACACAAAUUAUUAGCUCUUCUACAAAGAAGAAAAGAUAAAUGAAAAAGUAUAAUUUUAUUUCAAAA
Molecule: long non-coding RNA, 364 nt
Organism: Solanum lycopersicum (tomato)
Lineage: Eukaryota; Viridiplantae; Streptophyta; Magnoliopsida; Solanales; Solanaceae
Source: RefSeq, a predicted model, not a curated record